RNAcentral lists this ribosomal RNA (251 nucleotides) under uncultured prokaryote. RNAcentral's name for it is "partial 16S rRNA". It matches the Rfam family "Bacterial small subunit ribosomal RNA", at positions 525 to 775 of the family's 1533-position model. The record is from RNAcentral.
ACGUAGGGUGCGAGCGUUAAUCGGAAUUACUGGGCGUAAAGCGUGCGCAGGCGGUCUUGCAAGACAGUGGUGAAAUCCCCGGGCUCAACCUGGGAACUGCCAUUGUGACUGCAAGGCUGGAGUACGGCAGAGGGGGAUGGAAUUCCGCGUGCGGCGGUUGACCGCGGGGAUAGGAGGGGGAACACCGCAGGAGAGGGCGGGGACCAGGACGGGAAAUAAACCUGAGGAUCGAGAGGGUGGGUAGCCAAAAG